CCUACGGGCGGCUGCAGUGGGGAAUAUUGGACAAUGGGCGAAAGCCUGAUCCAGCCAUGCCGCGUGUGUGAAGAAGGCCUUCGGGUUGUAAAGCACUUUCAGUGGGGAAGAAAGCCUUGGGGCUAAUACCCUCGAGGAAAGACAUCACCCACAGAAGAAGCACCGGCUAACUCCGUGCCAGCAGCCGCGGUAAUACGGAGGGUGCGAGCGUUAAUCGGAAUUACUGGGCGUAAAGCGCGCGUAGGCGGUCUGAUAAGCCGGUUGUGAAAGCCCCGGGCUCAACCUGGGAACGGCAUCCGGAACUGUCAGGCUAGAGUGCAGGAGAGGAAGGUAGAAUUCCCGGUGUAGCGGUGAAAUGCGUAGAGAUCGGGAGGAAUACCAGUGGCGAAGGCGGCCUUCUGGACUGACACUGACGCUGAGGUGCGAAAGCGUGGGUAGCAAACAGGAUUAGAUACCCGUGUAGUC
Molecule: ribosomal RNA, 465 nt
Filed under: Vreelandella stevensii
Lineage: Bacteria; Pseudomonadati; Pseudomonadota; Gammaproteobacteria; Oceanospirillales; Halomonadaceae
Description: partial 16S ribosomal RNA
Rfam family: Bacterial small subunit ribosomal RNA
Source: RNAcentral